AACGAACGCUGGCGGCAUGCCUAACACAUGCAAGUCGAACGAGGCCUUCGGGUCUAGUGGCGCACGGGUGCGUAACGCGUGGGAACCUGCCCUUAGGUUCGGAAUAACUCCCCGAAAGGGGUGCUAAUACCGGAUAAUGUCUUCGGACCAAAGAUUUAUCGCCUUUGGAUGGGCCCGCGUUGGAUUAGCUAGUUGGUAGGGUAAAAGCCUACCAAGGCGACGAUCCAUAGCUGGUCUGAGAGGAUGAUCAGCCACACUGGGACUGAGACACGGCCCAGACUCCUACGGGAGGCAGCAGUGGGGAAUAUUGGACAAUGGGCGAAAGCCUGAUCCAGCAACGCCGCGUGAGUGAUGAAGGCCUUAGGGUUGUAAAGCUCUUUUACCCGGGAUGAUAAUGACAGUACCGGGAGAAUAAGCUCCGGCUAACUCCGUG
This 433-nucleotide ribosomal RNA is filed under the name uncultured bacterium. RNAcentral describes it as "partial 16S ribosomal RNA". It matches the Rfam family "Bacterial small subunit ribosomal RNA", at positions 29 to 507 of the family's 1533-position model. The record is from RNAcentral.